CGCCCGGUGGCACAGUGGUAGUGCAUCUGCUUGAUAUACUCCGUAUGUAUCGUUUAUGCAGAAGGUUCCCCGUUCGAUUCGGGGUCGGGCGA
This is a non-coding RNA of Mycena leptocephala, 92 nucleotides long. The record is from the annotation of a GenBank genome assembly. NCBI's taxonomy places the organism in Eukaryota, Fungi, Basidiomycota, Agaricomycetes, Agaricales, Mycenaceae.